This 85-nucleotide transfer RNA is filed under the name Felis catus (domestic cat). It matches the Rfam family "tRNA". Rfam says of the family: Transfer RNA (tRNA) molecules are approximately 80 nucleotides in length. Their secondary structure includes four short double-helical elements and three loops (D, anti-codon, and T loops). Lineage: Eukaryota; Metazoa; Chordata; Mammalia; Carnivora; Felidae. The record is from Rfam by way of RNAcentral.
GCCUGGGUGGCUCAGCUGGUUGAGCGUCCGACUUCAACUCAGAUCAUGAACUCAGGGAUUGUGAGUUUGAGCCCCACGUCAGGCU